Molecule: long non-coding RNA, 3913 nt
Organism: Dendroctonus ponderosae (mountain pine beetle)
Lineage: Eukaryota; Metazoa; Arthropoda; Insecta; Coleoptera; Curculionidae
Exons: 2
Source: RefSeq, a predicted model, not a curated record
UUGUCAUCUUCAAGUCGACCGAGUACCGUUAAUCGAAAUUAAAAAUUAGCCUCGACCAACUAUAGAUGUGCAUUCGAUAUAAACGGAGUAUGGCCGACUACAGUACCAAUAGGCAAUUGAUAUUAUUGGCCAAGAAAUAUCACGGUUUAAUGUGGUUGUUCGGCAUUUGCGACGAAACAGGAUGCAUGAGCAUAGAAAUAUAUCAAUAGUCUUCUAACCAAUAAAUGGCUACACCCACGUUACUACAAACUUGGAAGCAAUUAGAACCUCAGGUACUAAUUGGCCAGCAUUGUCCAACUAAUGAAUUCUCAGAGUGGACUAGACAAUCAAGAGCGGGAUGAAAUCCAGUAAAUGGACAGCAGCAGCAUCAGCAGCAGAGAGUUUGAAAUUUCGCAUAAAUUAAUACGCCCACCGCGGAAAAUAUUUACACACUUUCGCAAAAUAUCGUUAUACGAUGGGCCACAUUAAUCAAUGCUGAGAGCAAAACACGUCGAAAUGCGUCUAUAAAUCAAAAACAAAGCAACAGAAGGCCGAAACAAAAGGGUUGAAAACGGGGGCCAAACACUUUACCCCAGAGCCGCGCCUUUCCAACGAAGAGAAAACAAUAAUUGAUCGCAUGCGUGUCGCACAUUUUCCACCCGCUCUUGAGCUACGUUUAAUGACUAGGGAUUUUCAGUUUAAUCUAUAUACUCACUUGGUUUUCCCUUAAGGGUGACGGGUUUCGUCGCAGUGCUUGAAUCUUUAAGCCUGACUAGUGAGGGAAAAUUAAUUACUAGUUUUCUAAUUCGCAAUUUUACACCCUUGAAAGUACCCAAACAACAUGCAAAUUCAAUGAAACAAAUAAAAUGUACCAAAGUACAUACUGUCCAGCACUAAUUCUCCUGCUUUUUGAGGAGACACCACUCCAGUUAUCAAUUUCAUCCUGUACCUUCCAGGGUGGAAAGUUAAUGUGCCUUCCUCCGGUACAGUCCUCAAAACUUUUUCGGCAGCUCUUGAUCCUUCUGGUUAGUGUGACUUUAAGCACAUUUGUGUAAAUAAUGUUGUUUUGUCCGGAGUAUCCGAAACUGGCCCUUUCGCAACAAAGCGUUUGAUUUUCGAACUGGAGUUUGAACUCGAAGUGUAGUAAUAACUUCAACUAACAAUGAGUUCCUCUCUUGAGAGCACUGUGGUUUCGUUAUUGCCAAUUCUUCAACUUAUUCAUUCAGUGUAAUUUGUCGCUUGAUCUGAUUUGCUUGUGCCUUUGUCCUCUUUUUCCUCAACGGGACUAUUUGGUGUCUACAGUACUUCAGCCACUUUUUCAGUGGUCAAAUUCUUCGCUAGUUCAAGAGCAGAAUGAAAGUCAGCUUAUACAAAGAUGGAAGAAAACUACUCAAUUUUUCGGGCGGAAAUCGUUUAAUUCACUAAAAACAUAUUCAGUUUGACCUCAGCAACUUUUCGCACACUUUUUCCUGGAUCCUCAGAACGAAACAAUAGCGCAUUUUACGCAUCUAGGAUUUUCACGGCUACAUUGCUCGUCUCGAAAACACGCCGCAUCUUCUUCCAAAAUUACAGAUUAUUUCGCUUUUGCUCUCCGGCCAAAUAUUGGCCUUGUUGAAAGUCGAAUCUGUUUGCACAAAAAUCUCUGAAUUUUUUAUGAGUUUCAUUGGCUUUCUCCAACUGGCACUUGUCCUUAUCGUUUUGCCCUCGUUUAAGAAUCGACUGAAACUCUGCAGCCUUAAAGGCGAGAAAAGAUUGCAGAACAUCUGCUAUUAAACCAUAAUCAAAUAUCCACGUAUUUACUUUAUAUGAAACCUUAUUUUCGAUGAAAUAUUUGAACUUGAUUUAUUUUUACACAUUUGAGAAAGUCAAUUAAUCAAUUUCUCGCAGUUUUGCAAAGCGCAUUAAAACUCAAUUAAUCACCCCGGCUUGGAAUCGUUCCAUAUUGUUAAAAAUAACUACUGCAACAAAGAAGAACGUGCUUUAGGGUAACAUCUAGUCGAACAUUUCAAAUUUAUAUUACCUACAAAAUCUGAACUAGACUUUUUAUUAUUCCACCCUUAAGAGUCGAACGGUUCUGAAAAUAAUUAAGCAUAAUCGGUGUUUUCGAAGUAAAAACGAAACGGUUUCUGAUCUACAGAUUACAAGGUAACACCAGGAGUAAUUUUGGGAGAAGUUUUGCGUUCAGUUACGACCGGGCUGUAAUUAGGAAAUAAUUGUUUUUCAGUGGUUUAGGCGACAUUGCGUGUGCAUGUUUUCCGAAAGUUACAAAACACUUUUAUAACGAAAACAACACCUUAAUGGAUCAAACAGGAAGAACUGCUGCCUGUGCCUUGCCCCAACAUUUAAUAGUGUUUUGCGUAUAUAUUAUUUUAAAUUUAUUUUAUAUUUAGUCUCAACCCACUCCAAAAUCUGAAAGAAGAUAAAGAUAUUUUGUGGCCAGUUAACAAAAUAUUCGAUUGUCUUCAAAGUAAGUUCUUUUAACAGUUAUUUGGACAAUUCAUUAGAGUGUGUGUGGCUGAUAGAUCGAUCUGACAAGUUUACGAGUUGACUCCGGAAAAAUACAAAUAUUUUUGCCUCCUACAGCCCAUCGAGAUGGGCCAUUAAAGAUGGAAAAAAUGCAAAAAUUCCGGUUCUACCACUAUAAAAAUUAAGUGGUUAUAACUUGGACAAAGUAAUGUUUCGAAUCUUCGGAUUUCGCAUGUGGGCGUGCACAGUUAGGUAUUUCAGGUUUGUACAACUGCCGUAAAUCCGAUAUACAGUUGUGAAGGCUUUUAAACAUCGGCCAAUACUUUGUAAUGAUCGAUUUUAAGACGGAAUUUUUAAUGUUUUCUCAAAUUUAUGGUCAAGUUAAGCAUAUAUUGCUACUUUGUACAGUUGUUACAUUUUAACAGUCAGUAUUUACCAGCAAAACGUAUUGCGGAUUGGAUGUCUGAAAAAUGUUUGUUGACGCCCUACCGCCGUGAAUUAAAUCGGAUAGCGAAAUUAAUCAAAAUUUUUCGUUUUCAAAGUUUGACCUAAAAAUCGCGAGGACACAUUUUCCGCUCCAAAUAAAACGCUGAUGUUUUACCAUCCAAAUAAGCCUCGCGAAGGAAUGUGGGAAGGUAAACCGAGACCCGAAAAGAAAAAUGUGCGCCGCUUUCCUUGCAAUGCUUCCACUUAUUAAAUUUAAUAUCAGUCAGUGGUCCUUGGCUCGGAAUCUCGCUGGAAAUAUGGAAAUUCUGCAGAGCGAAACAGGACGAGAAAUUCAUCUACAGCACAUCUUUUAUACGUUCUCAAAGCCACUGGGCUCUGAUGUUCAAAGAUCCGGGAUUUUUUUGUCAAUUUCCUGGCAUUAACAAAUCAACUCGAAUCGAGCCAAAUUCUUGUUAAGAGGUAUCCACAAAAUGAGGAAUAUUUGCUUUAGCAAGCUCCUGGAACAGCUAUUAAUAAUCCAGGAGCCAAUUUGGAGCUAAUUUCCUUUCGUGGGCAGUCGGCGUGUUGGUUAUGUGAAUUUCUCGUCCGACCAUCGGAGAUAUUACGUGGACUGAAAUUGAAUAAUUUUCAUCGGAGCAGGAAAAUCACUGUUCGGAGUCAAGGAAUAACAUUGAGAAAAUAUUUGAGCUAAUAAAAGCGUUUGAGGCUACGACAGGUUGAGAGGCAUAGAGGUUUGUCUAGGGCUGUUCACUCAGUCAAAGGCCUCGGUUAGAUCUAAUCCAACAAAGCGGCAAAUAUUAGUGUACACGGCUAAUCAGAUAAGUUGUUUGUGUAAAUUAAAUAUACCAAAUACAUCGAGUACGAUCUCGUGCGGGAAAUCCAAAUGGACGCGAUUUAUGUAUCCGAAACAUCGUCCAUUCCCGAAUUAGUAGCGGCCAUAAUUAAUAUUUAGUGCCAUAAAUGAUCAUUCGUGUUUGCUUUGCUUUAAAUGUGAACGAUAAAUAAAGAUAUUUAAUUAAAA